Bacillus cereus Rock3-44 is the source of this 117-nucleotide non-coding RNA. The record is from Rfam. NCBI's taxonomy places the organism in Bacteria, Bacillati, Bacillota, Bacilli, Caryophanales, Bacillaceae.
UGGUGAUGCCUCCUAACCAAUAUCAAUGGAGACACUCGGCUAUGCUGUGGGUAGAUUAUUUCUACCUUAGACACAUUUGUUGUCAGAAGUAUGGUGUGAGGUCGGGUUAGAUGCCCG